AAAUUGAAGAGUUUGAUCAUGGCUCAGAUUGAACGCUGGCGGCAGGCCUAACACAUGCAAGUCGAGCGGAAACGAGUUAUCAGAACCUUCGGGGGACGAUAACGGCGUCGAGCGGCGGACGGGUGAGUAAUGCCUAGGAAAUUGCCCUGAUGUGGGGGAUAACCAUUGGAAACGAUGGCUAAUACCGCAUGAUGCCUACGGGCCAAAGAGGGG
RNAcentral lists this ribosomal RNA (213 nucleotides) under Vibrio parahaemolyticus. RNAcentral's name for it is "partial 16S ribosomal RNA". It matches the Rfam family "Bacterial small subunit ribosomal RNA", at positions 1 to 211 of the family's 1533-position model. The record is from RNAcentral. Lineage: Bacteria; Pseudomonadati; Pseudomonadota; Gammaproteobacteria; Vibrionales; Vibrionaceae.